Molecule: ribosomal RNA, 484 nt
Filed under: uncultured bacterium
Lineage: Bacteria
Description: partial 16S ribosomal RNA
Rfam family: Bacterial small subunit ribosomal RNA
Source: RNAcentral
AUUGAACGCUGGCGGCAGGCCUAACACAUGCAAGUCGAGCGGAUGAAGGGAGCUUGCUCCUGGAUUCAGCGGCGGACGGGUGAGUAAUGCCUAGGAAUCUGCCUGGUAGUGGGGGAUAACGUCCGGAAACGGGCGCUAAUACCGCAUACGUCCUGAGGGAGAAAGUGGGGGAUCUUCGGACCCCACGCUAUCAGAUGAGCCUAGGUCGGAUUAGCUAGUUGGUGGGGUAAAGGCCUACCAAGGCGACGAUCCGUAACUGGUCUGAGAGGAUGAUCAGUCACACUGGAACUGAGACACGGUCCAGACUCCUACGGGAGGCAGCAGUGGGGAAUAUUAGACAAUGGGCGAAAGCCUGAUCCAGCCAUGCCGCGUGUGUGAAGAAGGUCUUCGGAUUGUAAAGCACUUUAAGUUGGGAGGAAGGGCAGUAAGUUAAUACCUUGCUGUUUUGACGUUACCAACGGAAUAAGCACCGGCUAACUUCGUG